This 466-nucleotide ribosomal RNA is filed under the name uncultured bacterium. RNAcentral describes it as "partial 16S ribosomal RNA". It matches the Rfam family "Bacterial small subunit ribosomal RNA", at positions 28 to 507 of the family's 1533-position model. The record is from RNAcentral.
GAUGAACGCUGGCGGCGUGCUUAACACAUGCAAGUCGAACGAUGAAGCCCAGCUUGCUGGGUGUCUUAGUGGCGCACGGGUGAGUAACACGUGAGUAACCUGCCCUUAACUCUGGGAUAAGCCUGGGAAACUGGGUCUAUUACCGGAUAGGAGCGUCCACCGCAUGGUGGGUGUUGGAAAGAUUUAUCGGUUUUGGAUGGACUCGCGGCCUAUCAGCUUGUUGGUGGGGUAAUGGCUCACCAAGGCGACGACGGGUAGCCGGCCUGAGAGGGUGACCGGCCACACUGGGACUGAGACACGGCCCAGACUCCUACGGGAGGCAGCAGUGGGGAAUAUUGCACAAUGGGCGCAAGCCUGAUGCAGCGACGCCGCGUGAGGGAUGACGGCCUUCGGGUUGUAAACCUCUUUCAGUAGGGAAGAAGCGAAAGUGACGGUACCUGCAGAAGAAGCACCGGCUAACUACGUG